CGGGGGGGCGCUGCGGCCUGCUGGACCGGCCGGCGCCCGCGCGUCCGGCGAGCUGCGGGCAGGGGCGCGGCUCCCGGCCUCCGCGCGGGGUGGGCGGCGAUUUGCUGCAUGUAAAGAAUAACAGCUGUGGUUUGUGGUUUUUGUUUUGUUAUAGCAAAAAUAGCUCACGCUCUUUGAUGAUACUGAAAAAUACAGGAAACUAAAAAUCACCUUUCACCCCAGCACCUGGUGAGAUGAGCAGGUCUAGGAGAAAACAUGGGAGACUUUCCCUAUAGGAGCCCAUUCUUGGUCCGUAAUGGGUAUAUGGUCCCUGUGCAAAGAUUUUUAUUUAUUUGAGAGGGAGCAAGAGAGAAUGAUGGGGGAGAGUCAGAGGGAGAAGCAGACUCCCCGCUGAGCAGGGAGCCCCGACGACGAUGAACUCAAUCCUGGGACUCCAGGAUCAUGACCUGAAUAGAAGGCAGUCGCUUAACCAACUGAGCCACCCAGUUGCCCAGGACUGUCUCCAGACUAUCUCCAGAAUAUCCAAGAGACUCAUAUUGGUGGCUGCCUCUAGGCAGGGGUCCUGAAGGUUUGUGUAGAGUGUGAGACUAGACUUUUCAAUGCUGUUUUGCACCAUUUGAAUUUUCUCCUUUGUUUGAAUUUUUGGUACCAUGACCCAAUUUUUAAAAACCACUUAACAUGUCACAAAGCAUGACAGAAAAGGCACUAGAAAAGUGAGUCCCACAAAGAAGAUGCUGUGCAGCAAUAGGCUUAGAGAAGCAGAAGGAUUUUGCAAACAUGUGAUAAUUUUCUCUUCUUUUCUGCCAGGGCACUGGGGUCACACCAGACCCGGUUAAGCAAGCCCAGAGCUUGAUAUGUACAAUCCAGAGCCCGGGUAUUCCUUUUAUGGGGAGUGGAGCUUUCCCCAGCCCAGAACUAUCAUUGUAACCAAGACCUGGCUGGAUGGGAGGAGUCAAUCCUCAUGAUAUGAUUGCAAAUAUUUAUUUUAGCUUAUUUUUGUUGAUUAGCUUUUUUUUUUUUUUAAAGAUUUUCUUUAUGUAUUUGAGAGAGAGAGAGAGAGAGCAUGAGAGGGGAGAAGGUCAGAGGGAGAAGCAGACUCCCCAUGGAACUGGGAACCUGGCAUGGGACUCAAUCUGGGGACUCAAGGAUCAUGACCUGGGCCUAAGGCAGUGGCUUAACCAACUGCACCUUUUCUUACUUUCUCUCUCUCUCUUUUCUUUCAUUGAGCACAUAAUCUGUGAUCUAAUUGGCAAAAGGAAAUUCAGGAAGAUACACAGAGCUGAUGUAUGGAAUGCUCUGGAAUGACCCCUCUGUGAUCCUGGCCUCUCAUUGGACCAGAGGUGACCUGAGUGUGGAAUUUGAGAGGAUUCAAGAGUGUAAUACUCCCCUUCCUUUUGUUGGUCACACACACACACACACACACACACACACACCUCCCCACACCCUGUAGAAGUGUGUGUGUGUGUGUUGGAUGGGAGUAAUCCCUGCUGGGUUGAUUUCGAAAAUGCAAUCCCUCAGUUUUCUUUCUGGUCUUCGAGGUGGGAAGCCUCACAGACGGUCUCCUCGAUCACUCACCCUGCUCCCCAGGACAGUCACAUCCUGGGCUGUGAGUAGUGGCUGGAGGUUGGGAGCUGGACCCUUGAUCCAGUUGGAUGAACCAGGAACGUACCUGAAACCUCAGCCCUGUCCAGCAGGAAGCACAGCACCCGACACAUCACAGAAGCUGAACAAAAUGUUGGGAGAAGGAAAUGUCAUGAUCUGCAUGCUCAGUUUAAACUAGUGACAGAUUCAGUUUCCCUGGCCAUCAAAGAAACGUCAACUAAAUAGUGUGAUGCCAUUGACCUCACUUUAGCCAAACCCUCAGUGGGCAUGAGAUAGUUCCAUAACUUGGUUCUGAGGUGGAAGCCACCUUCUUUGGUUCCAAUCGCCAAAACCUAUGGCUAGGUUAGCCAUUAGAGCCUCCUCUGAGGCUGUUGGAGAAAACUGGACCCCUUGGGGUCACAGAUAACCUGGGGCCCCAUGAGUUACACGGGACCCCCACCUCCGGUCUACCUCCUGUGAGGGUUGGGGGAGGCUCCGCUUGGCAAUUACGCUUCACCGACACUCCGCGCUGCGGGUCGAGCGGGCAGGAAGGCUUCAGGAGCUCCUGGGGUGAAUUUCUGCUUUGCCACUUGCCCCGUGUGACCUUGAACGAGCUAAUGAAGUUUUCCACGCCUCAGCGCCCGGGUUGGUAGAGUGGCGAACACAGUCCGCACCGCGUAGCCGUGUCUGGCAAACUCCCGGAGUGGAGCCUACUGGUGGGUGUAGGUGAUGUUAAAUCGGGGGGG
Molecule: long non-coding RNA, 2327 nt
Organism: Mustela lutreola (European mink)
Lineage: Eukaryota; Metazoa; Chordata; Mammalia; Carnivora; Mustelidae
Exons: 4
Source: RefSeq, a predicted model, not a curated record